UACGUAGGGUGCGAGCGUUGUCCGGAAUUAUUGGGCGUAAAGAGCUCGUAGGCGGUUUGUCGCGUCUGCUGUGAAAACUCAGGGCUUAACCCUGAGCCUGCAGUGGGUACGGGCAGACUAGAGUGUGGUAGGGGAGAUCGGAAUUCCUGGUGUAGCGGUGGAAUGCGCAGAUAUCAGGAGGAACACCGAUGGCGAAGGCAGAUCUCUGGGCCGUAACUGACGCUGAGGAGCGAAAGCAUGGGGAGCGAACAGG
Molecule: ribosomal RNA, 253 nt
Filed under: uncultured bacterium
Lineage: Bacteria
Description: partial 16S ribosomal RNA
Rfam family: Bacterial small subunit ribosomal RNA
Source: RNAcentral